RNAcentral lists this ribosomal RNA (488 nucleotides) under uncultured bacterium. RNAcentral describes it as "partial 16S ribosomal RNA". It matches the Rfam family "Bacterial small subunit ribosomal RNA", at positions 28 to 507 of the family's 1533-position model. The record is from RNAcentral.
GACGAACGCUGGCGGCGUGCCUAAUACAUGCAAGUCGAACGGACAGACCCGGCUCUUGCUGGUCUCACGAGUGCCGAACAGGGGUGAGAAACGCGUGUAACCUCCCCCUGAAAUUGGGAUAACUCUUGGGAACACGGGCGCAUACCCGGUAUGAGCUACUGCUGCAUGUGGUUGGAUGGAAAGAUUCGGCGGUUGGGGAAGGACUCGCGGCGUAUCAGCUAGUUUGUAAGGUAGUGGGUUACCAAGGCUAUGACGGGUAGCCGACCUGAGAGGGUGAUCGGCGACACUGGAGCUGAGACACGGUCCAGACUCCUACGGGAGGGAGCAGUAGGGAAUCUGCCGCAAUGGGGGAAAGCCUGACGGAGCAGCGCCGCGUGAGUGAUGAAGGUCCUCGGAGCGUAAAACUCUGUUAUGAGGGAAGAACAAAUGUGUAAGGUACUAUGCACGUCGUGACGGUACCUAAUCAGAAAGCCACGGCUAACUACGUG